UUGAGCAUUGAACAGUCUACA
RNAcentral lists this non-coding RNA (21 nucleotides) under Caenorhabditis elegans. Lineage: Eukaryota; Metazoa; Nematoda; Chromadorea; Rhabditida; Rhabditidae. The record is from RNAcentral.